CGCUAGCUACAGGCUUAACACAUGCAAGUCGAGGGGCAUCAGGAAGAAAGCUUGCUUUCUUUGCUGGCGACCGGCGCACGGGUGAGUAACACGUAUCCAACCUGCCCUUUACUCGGGGAUAGCCUUUCGAAAGAAAGAUUAAUACCCGAUGGCAUAAUGAUUCCGCAUGGUUUCAUUAUUAAAGGAUUCCGGUAAAGGAUGGGGAUGCGUUCCAUUAGGUUGUUGGUGAGGUAACGGCUCACCAAGCCUUCGAUGGAUAGGGGUUCUGAGAGGAAGGUCCCCCACAUUGGAACUGAGACACGGUCCAAACUCCUACGGGAGGCAGCAGUGAGGAAUAUUGGUCAAUGGGCGCUAGCCUGAACCAGCCAAGUAGCGUGAAGGAUGAAGGCUCUAUGGGUCGUAAACUUCUUUUAUAUAAGAAUAAAGUGCAGUAUGUAUACUGUUUUGUAUGUAUUAUAUGAAUAAGGAUCGGCUAACUCCGUGCCAGCAGCCGCGGUAAUACGGAGGAUCCGAGCGUUAUCCGGAUUUAUUGGGUUUAAAGGGAGCGUAGGUGGACUGGUAAGUCAGUUGUGAAAGUUUGCGGCUCAACCGUAAAAUUGCAGUUGAUACUGUCAGUCUUGAGUACAGUAGAGGUGGGCGGAAUUCGUGGUGUAGCGGUGAAAUGCUUAGAUAUCACGAAGAACUCCGAUUGCGAAGGCAGCUCACUGGACUGCAACUGACACUGAUGCUCGAAAGUGUGGGUAUCAAACAGGAUUAGAUACCCUGGUAGUCCACACAGUAAACGAUGAAUACUCGCUGUUUGCGAUAUACAGUAAGCGGCCAAGCGAAAGCAUUAAGUAUUCCACCUGGGGAGUACGCCGGCAACGGUGGAACUCAAAGGAAUUGACGGGGGCCCGCACAAGCGGAGGAACAUGUGGUUUAAUUCGAUGAUACGCGAGGAACCUUACCCGGGCUUAAAUUGCAGUGGAAUGAUGUGGAAACAUGUCAGUGAGCAAUCACCGCUGUGAAGGUGCUGCAUGGUUGUCGUCAGCUCGUGCCGUGAGGUGUCGGCUUAAGUGCCAUAACGAGCGCAACCCUUAUCUCUAGUUACUAACAGGUUAUGCUGAGGACUCUAGAGAGACUGCCGUCGUAAGAUGUGAGGAAGGUGGGGAUGACGUCAAAUCAGCACGGCCCUUACGUCCGGGGCUACACACGUGUUACAAUGGGGGGUACAGAAGGCAGCUACCUGGUGACAGGAUGCUAAUCCCAAAAGCCUCUCUCAGUUCGGAUCGAAGUCUGCAACCCGACUUCGUGAAGCUGGAUUCGCUAGUAAUCGCGCAUCAGCCAUGGCGCGGUGAAUACGUUCCCGGGCCUUGUACACACCGCCCGUCAAGCCAUGAAAGCCGGGGGUACCUGAAGUACGUAACCGCAAGGAGCGUCCUAGGGUAAAACUGGUAAUUGGGG
RNAcentral lists this ribosomal RNA (1443 nucleotides) under uncultured organism. RNAcentral describes it as "SSU rRNA". It matches the Rfam family "Bacterial small subunit ribosomal RNA". The record is from RNAcentral.